Molecule: long non-coding RNA, 214 nt
Organism: Sinocyclocheilus grahami
Lineage: Eukaryota; Metazoa; Chordata; Actinopteri; Cypriniformes; Cyprinidae
Exons: 3
Source: RefSeq, a predicted model, not a curated record
AAUUGUUGCUGCUGUUGCAUAGGGUUUUUUUCCUCUUCUCUCUGUGUUUGAGGAGCCAGCCUGCGUGAGAGCACCUGUCCUGAAGUCUUCUGGGUUUAACCCUUUCUUCACUGCAUUAAUAUAGAGAUGAGGGCCCAGUAUAAUCUGUACUCUAUAAGAGGAGAGUAUUUUGGCACGCAAUAAGAGAUGCAGUGCUGUAGAGAAUAAACCAAUA